UACAGAGGGUGCAAGCGUUAAUCGGAAUUACUGGGCGUAAAGCGCGCGUAGGUGGUUUGUAAGUAGGGUGUGAAAGCCCCCGGCCCAACCGGGGAAUUGCGCCCUAAACUGCAAGGCUGGAGUGAGGUAGGGGUGUGUGGAACUUCCAGUGGAGCGGUGAAAUGUGUUGAUAUUGGAAGGAACGCCGGUGGCGAAAGCGACACACUGGACCUUGUCUGACGCUGAGGCACGAAAGCCAGGGGAGCAAACGGG
This 252-nucleotide ribosomal RNA is filed under the name uncultured prokaryote. RNAcentral describes it as "partial 16S ribosomal RNA". It matches the Rfam family "Bacterial small subunit ribosomal RNA", at positions 524 to 776 of the family's 1533-position model. The record is from RNAcentral.